UAAUACUAGCGGUCCAAGUCGCAGCCAUUUUUAUUGGGUCUAAAACAUCCGUAGCUCGUUCGGUGAGUUUCCUGUGAAAUCUUAUCUCUCAAAGAUAAGGCGUGCGGGAAGUACUGCCGAACUAGAGACCGGAAGACGUAGGAAGUACGUUCAAAGUAGUGGUAAAAUACUUUAAUCUUGGACGGACUCACAAUAGCGAAGGCAUCCUACGAGUACGGUUCUGACAGUAAGGGAUGAAGGCUAGGGGCGCAAAACGGAUUAGAUACCCGUGUAGUCCUAGCAGUAAACACUGCACACUAAACAUCAGUACCUCCUCGAGAGGUAUUGGUGCUGCAGGGAAGCCGAAGAGUGUGCUACCUGGGAAGUAUAGUCGCAAGGCCG
This 381-nucleotide ribosomal RNA is filed under the name uncultured archaeon. RNAcentral's name for it is "bacterial SSU rRNA". It matches the Rfam family "Archaeal small subunit ribosomal RNA", at positions 471 to 851 of the family's 1478-position model. The record is from RNAcentral.